RNAcentral lists this ribosomal RNA (1191 nucleotides) under Gammarus nekkensis. RNAcentral describes it as "partial large subunit ribosomal RNA". It matches the Rfam family "Eukaryotic large subunit ribosomal RNA", at positions 122 to 855 of the family's 3401-position model. Lineage: Eukaryota; Metazoa; Arthropoda; Malacostraca; Amphipoda; Gammaridae. The record is from RNAcentral.
UCGUAGUCAAUCCCCACAGCCACGCGAACUCUAAGUCAGCCACGAAUAGGCUAUCCCAACUAACGGCGGGAAAGACUCCACGGAGGGUGUAAGACCCGUGUGGGCGCGUGUCAAUGCUGUGCGGGCUCGGCCUCUUUUCCCUGAGAGUCGCGUUGCUUGAGCAUGCAGCGCUAAGCAGGUCGUAAACUCGAUCUAAGGCUAAAUAUGUCCACAGAACCGAUAGCGAACAAGUACCGUGAGGGAAAGUUGAAAAGCACUCUGGAGAGAGAGUCAAAAGACCGUGAAACCGCUCAGAGUAUAAGCCCAUGGCAGCUUGGAAGGCAUAUCGCUAGCGGGGCAUCGGUCUUCUCUUCCCCUUCGCGGGGGGAGGGGAGCUGGUGUUACCUUGCUUUUGUUGUGGCUCGUCACGGUAGGGGGGUCAAGUCCACAUCCCGCCGUCGAGUGGAGAGUUCUCGGGUGCGUUGAUGCCUUUCGGUUGAUUUCGGUUGAUCGUUGGGCUCUUCGUGCUCGGUUCUCUUUGAACACGGACGUUCAGACUCAAUUGCAAGACGCGAUAACCAGCCCACCACGGCACGUUGUGAGGUCACCCUCAGGCUCAACUUUCGAUUGUGGUCCUUGACGCCGAGCAAGCACAAUGCGUGUCGCAAAUGUUCCUAACCAGGCAGCCAAUCGCCAGGAUCGUGGAACCACACGCGCUCAACAGUCAGGACCGGGCGAUGACAGAGUUCUGGUAUGAUCCUCUUGCGACGAGCCGGCUUCUGGCCAACUUCCGAUGCACAGUUCUCCCGCAUGUGCCGCGGGAGAUCGAGUCGACGGUCUGGAGCUUUUACAAGUCCUCUCAGUCGGGCAACGGAAAGAGUGGUGUAAAGUCCAAGCCCAUCGGUCACGUCUCGAAACACGGGCCAAGGAGUAUAGCAUGUGUGCAAGUCUAAGAGUCUCACAAAACUCGAAGGCGCAGUGAAAGCAAGUACGCGGCGGGUGAUCUACGGAGAGAUCCCGUCAGCUUGAGGGUCCUACGGGGCUCUCCGGCUUUGGCAGAGUUGAUCCUGCAGCGGUACCUCCUAAGUACGCUCAGGCGCAAACUCCAGGCUCACGUUUCGCACUGGUUCUCGGACUGUGCUGUGAGCACUGUGGAGCAUGCAUGCUAUGACCCGAAAGAUAGUGAACUAUGCCUGGCGAGGGCGAAGCCCC